Molecule: long non-coding RNA, 999 nt
Filed under: Marmota monax (woodchuck)
Lineage: Eukaryota; Metazoa; Chordata; Mammalia; Rodentia; Sciuridae
Source: RNAcentral
CUGCAGGCUGAGAAGGGACCUCUGCGGGGCAGUGUCACCGAGCCCUGCAUCGGGGUUGCGGGGUCACUUUCCAGCCGAGGAGACCCGAGCCUAGCAGAUUGUGUCAGGGCAGUGGCCAGCGGGAGCAGGAGGCAGGGGCCUAGGGGUCCUCAGUUUCUUGGGUGGCUCAGCAUCUUUCCCAAGCGUCACAGCUGGCAUGGGAAGGAACGGAGACCCGGGACCUGCUGGGGCAGGGUGAGGACCGGCCAGACCUGGCAGCGGGGUGUGAGAGUGACAACUGGGCGGGAUCACAUUCACAGCUGCGGCAGACCCAGACUUUGCCUAGGGCUCGGCAAGCGAGUGGGAGAGGGCACCGGGUGGCGCUCCGGUUGCCGCAGGUGGGCAGGCUCCAAAGCCGCCCCUGCCCCGGCGGCGGAAAGGCCCGCCCUGCUCAGGCUAAGGCUGGAGGGAGUGAGCUGAUCGGUGGCCGGUGGAGGUGACGUGGGCGUCCUGGCCUGUGGGCGGGGGAUGAAAAUGUGCGCUGUCCCUUUAAGCCCCCAGCCACUGCCGCCUCCCAGCCCCAUCCCCCCUCAAUUUAAUUUCAUUAAAACAGAGCAUGAAUAUUUCUAUUAAACCUAAAAUGAAAUAUGAAGCCAUUUAGACUCUGCCUGCACCAAUCACCCAGAUUUAUGACUUUUAUUCAUCACAUCAAGAGCUUGGAAAAAUGAAUUUUCUUCACCCAGGAAGGAAAUAAAACCUCAGGCUUGGUCAUUUCCAGAAAGCUGUUAAUUUGACCAUGUGGUAAUUACUUUCACAAUUAACUAAAAUACAAAUCAACUUGACAAAUUGGGCUAGUUUAUAUAUUAAUUAGCCUGCUUAAAUUUAUUCAUUAUGAAAAGACAAUUUAAGGGGACCUGCAGUGUCUGUUUUAUCGCAAUAAAUUACUGUUAGGAAAUGGGUCUAAUAAAAUACCUUAAUAUUUAGGAUACUGUAUACACGGGGCGCUGCUUUAUUGACAAC